CAGCCGCCGCGGGAAUACGAGGGGGGCAAGCGUUGUUCGGAAUUAUUGGGCGUAAAGGGCGCGUAGGCGGUUUGGCAAGUUUGGUGUGAAAUCUUCGGGCUCAACUCGAAGUCUGCACCGAAAACUGCCGGGCUUGAGUAUGGGAGAGGUGAGUGGAAUUUCCGGUGUAGCGGUGAAAUGCGUAGAUAUCGGAAGGAACACCUGUGGCGAAAGCGGCUCACUGGACCAUUACUGACGCUGAGGCGCGAAAGCUAGGGGAGCAAACAGGAUUAGAUACCCGGGUAGUCCCUGUCUCUUAUAC
This 301-nucleotide ribosomal RNA is filed under the name uncultured bacterium. RNAcentral's name for it is "partial 16S ribosomal RNA". It matches the Rfam family "Bacterial small subunit ribosomal RNA", at positions 509 to 807 of the family's 1533-position model. The record is from RNAcentral.